Molecule: small nuclear RNA, 107 nt
Filed under: Carlito syrichta (Philippine tarsier)
Lineage: Eukaryota; Metazoa; Chordata; Mammalia; Primates; Tarsiidae
Source: RNAcentral
GUGCUCACUUAGGCAACACAUCUACUAACACUGGAAAGAUACAGAGAAGAUGAACAUGGCUCCUGCACAAGGGUGACCUGCCAACUCUCACAGUAUUCCAUAGUUAA